GCAUAAAGUACUGCCCCAGGGCCUGCACCUGCCCAUGGUCAGUCUUGUCUCCGAUAUACAGCCCUUCACAUGCACACACAGUGCACACAUCUACUCAAAACAGACAGGUGUCUCAAGGACAAGAGACCUCUGUUUUCCAUCACAGAUAAGGUCCUUAGACCAUCUCAUUUGGUAGUAUCAGCAGUAGGCAGGGCUUGGGCGAAGGUGCUCCUUGUCUCCCUCUCUGGGGACAGUCACUACUUCCUCUGGUUCCUCAAGAGCCUGGGGUAGCUAGCUCCCUCCCG
This 284-nucleotide long non-coding RNA is filed under the name Mus musculus (house mouse). Its description in RNAcentral is "long non-coding RNA chr4:155151704-155151988". The record is from RNAcentral. Lineage: Eukaryota; Metazoa; Chordata; Mammalia; Rodentia; Muridae.